UAAAACCCUAGUGCUUUUAUAAAUUGAUAUUCAAAACUCUUUUAUUCAAUCGUAUUUGUUAUUGUUUAAUAUUUGUUUUUAGAAUCAACCAAAUUCAUAAAUCUUUCUUGACCUUUUUUUUAAGUAGUUAUUUGGAAUUUGUUUUUACUUACAUUGCUAAUUAGUCCUUGAAGAAAACGACCUUGCAUGAGCAUCUAUCCUACAAUAGCCUUGUAUUCUUGCAAGUAUUUUAUGUGAUUUUAACCGUGUUUGCACAGGUACUAAAAAUCAUAUCAAGAAAUUGGCGCCGUUGCCGGGGACUAUUUUAGACAAUUUGUGUUUCAACUUUUUCCUUUUAUUUUAUUUUAUUUUAUUUUUAAUUUUUGUCAAAAUUGAAAAUUUUUUUAAAAAAAAAUUUAACAGUUUUGUUUGUAUUUCUGAUUCUGCUGAAAUCUUUGCAUGGUCAACACCAGAUCACAACCUGCACAGUUUGUUCUGUUUGACCCAGAGCCUGAACGAAUAUUACGAAAACAGCACAGAGAACAAUUUUCAGCGUCUGAUUUUUCACUGCAGGACACAUUUUUGCAGGAUUUGUUUGCUGAUUUUGAGGGCACUGGGGUUUAAAUGGCGUUGGCAAUACCUGAAGGAGGAAGACCACUCAGAGAGUCGUUGGCUGCCCUUGUAAAUGAUGUUCCUAAUUGCAUAGUCUAUCCUACCCAGGAAGAUGGAGACACAUUUGAAAUUAGGCACCACAUGCUUGAGAUUUUACCAACAUUCCGUGGGCUGCCUAAUGAAGAUGCAAACAUACAUAUUGCAAAAUUUAUUGUGGGUUGCAAGAAUAUUUUGAUUAGGGGUUUUUCUGCUGAGGCUAUUAAGUUACGUCUUUUCCCUUUCACUUUGAAGGACAAAGCAGAAACUUGGUUAUUCACUCUACCAACUAAUAGCAUUACUACUUGGCAGCAGUUACACACAAAAUUCCUGAACAAAUAUUAUCCAGCAUCUAAGACAUGGAAUUACAAGAGGGAGAUUUUGACAUUCACACAAAAGCCUAAUGAAGAGUUUCAUGAAGCGUGGGAGAGAUAUACAGAGAUGUACAUAAAGUGUCCACAUGUUAAAAUUGAUUCAGAUACACAAAUGAAUAUUUUCUUUGAUGGGCUUAAUCCUACAUCUAAGAGCCAUGUGAAUGCAUCAGCUGGAGGAUCAUUGUCAAAUAAAUCUGCAAGAUAGGCAUUUGAACUGUUUGAUAUGAUGGCUAUAGAAUCUCAGCAAUGGGCAGCAGAACAUUCACAGAAAAGGGGCAUUUUUGAGUUAUAAGUAGGUUCUCCCAACAUGUCUGCACAAAUGGAAAAAAUGGAGAAGAAAAUUGAUGCAAAGUUUGAUAUGCUUCUACAACAUAUAGCAAGUUCUACACAGCAGCCACCUACAUCAACAGCUUGCACUAUAUGCAGUAUGGCUACACAUGACAUAAUGGGCUGCCCACAUAAAGACUCUUACCCAGAGCUUGUUGAACAACAUGUCAAUAUGAUGAACAGCCAUCAAAGGCCUAGGAAUGAUGCAUAUGCAACUCAUUACAAUCCUGGAUGGAGGGAUCACCCUAAUUUCAAAUGGGGUGACAAUCAGACUAAUGCCAAACGAUUCCAGCAUGCACAAAAGCCUUUUGUUCCCUCCAAACCAUCUCUAGAAGAUCAACUUGCUAAACUGGCAGCAACAACUCAAUCAUUCAUCGAGGGCAACAAUCAAAGAUUUCAAAAUGUUAAAGCAUCAAUUAAAAGUUUGGAGCAACAAUUUGGACAGCUAGCUACACAGAUUUCAGACAGAAAAAAGGGCAAAUUUUCGAGUCAAACAAUUCCUAAUCCAAAUAGACGUGAAGAUUGCAACGUUGUUCGGACUUUAUGAUGUGGAAAAAGCUAUGACAAUCGUGAAAAUAGCAUUGAAAAGGAGCAGCAAGCAGUGGAGGAUAAUACAGAAAAUUUUGCAACAGCAGAACCUGCCAAACCUGCAGAAAAAUAUAAUCUGGCUGAUCUAGAAACUGUUCCAAAACAAGUUCCGGAGCGUUAUUAUGCAGACACAAUUCCAUAUCCAGAACGUUUGAAGCCAAAAGCAAAAGAUCAGCAACUCAUGGACUUUAUGCAGACAUUAUCCAAGGUUCAAAUCAACAUUCCAUACUGGAUGCAAUCAAGAAAAUUCUAUCAUAUGCCAAAUUUCUGAAGGAAGUUUGCAGUAGCAAAAAGAAGCUUUCAGAUUUGGACAAAGUUAUUUUGACAGAACAGUGCAGCGCAGUUUUGCUACACAAACUACCACCUAAGAAAAAAGAUCUAUGGAGUUUUAAUAUUUCUUGCACUAUUGGAAAUUCUAAUUUUAAAAGUGCUUUAAUUGAUUUGGGUGCAAGUAUUAAUUUGAUGCCUUUUUCUGUUUUCCAGUGAUUGGAGCAAGGAGAUUUAAAGCCUACAUCAAUUAUACUUCAACUAGCUAACCGUUCAAUCACUUAUCCAAGAGGUGUUAUUGAAGAUCUAAUUAUUAAGGUUGAUAAUCUUUAUCUACCGACAGAUUUUGUGGUUUUAGACAUGGAUGAAGACCUUCAAACACCUAUUAUUUUGGGCAGGGUGUUUAUGGCAACAGCUAGGACCUUAAUUGAUGUGGAAGCUGGAACAUUGACUUUACGGGUUCAGGACCAAUCUGUGGUGUUUAAUGUGUUUGAGGCAGCAAAACGUCCUGCUGAACAGCAAGAUUGUAUGCGCAUUGACAUAGUAGACAGUAUGGUUCAAGACAGUUUUUAUGCCAGUACAAAAACAGAUCAGUUGCUGCACAUUUUACAAGGGGAACUUGGGACAGAUUCUGAAGAUGAAGGUGUUCUUGAGUACAUUCACGCAUUGGACAAUCUACCCACACUAUUGCCAAAAUUUAGGAAUGUGUACGAGAGUUUAGGGGAGCCCAAACAACCCCUUAAACCGUCCAAACAACAGCUGUCAAAAUUGUUGGCAGUUGUGUUCGCACUAGAGAACUUUCGGUCUUAUUUGGUUGGAGCUAAAAUAAUUGUCUAUACGGAUCAUGCUGCACUAAAAUACUUGUUGUCUAAGAAGGAUGCAAAGCCUAGAUUGAUUCGUUGGGUUCUUUUACUUCAAGAAUUUGACUUAGAGAUUAAAGACAAGAAUGGCAGUGAGAAUGUUGUGGUUGAUCAUUUAUCUAGAUUAAUUAUUCCAGCAGCUACAGAGGCAGAUUCUCUACUAUUGAGUGAAAGUUUCCCAGAUGGAUAGCUAUUUGCUAUCAAAAUUGACACACCUUGGUUUGCAGAUAUUGUCAAUUAUUUGGCUAAGGGUGUGGUGCAUCCAGAUUUUUCCUACCAGCAGAAAAAGAAGUUUUUAUCUGAUGUAAAGCACUAUUUCUGGGAUGAACCGUACUUAUACAAGUAUUGUGCAGACCAGAUGAUUUGCAGGUGUAUUCCGGAGGCUGAACAGGAAAGUGUUUUAAAGUUUUCUCAUCACUACGCUUGUGGAGGACAUUUUGGGCAAAAAAGGACAGCAGAGAAAAUCCUACAGAGUGGGUUAUUUUGGCCAACACUUUUUAGAGAUUCACAGAAUUGGUGCAAGGCAUGUGAUAGGUGUCAAAGGGUCGGCAAUCAAUCCAGAAAGAAUGAGAUGCCCUAGCAAAGUAUCCUAAUUGUUGAACUAUUUGGUGUUUGGCAUGUUGAUUUCAUGGGACCAUUCCCAUCUUCUAACGGGCACCAAUAUAUUUUAGUGGCUGUGGAAUAUGUUUCAAAGUGGGUCGAGGCCAUUGCAGCACCAACUAAUCAAGGAUCAGUGGUCCUGAAGUUCCUCCAUGGGGUUAUAUUUCCACGUUUUGGAAUUCCGCGUGUUAUUCUUAGUGAUGGGGGGAAGCAUUUUAUUAAUAAACCAUUUGCUAACCUACUGGCAAAAUAUGGGAUUAAUCAUCGCGUGGCUACACCAUACCACCCACAGACAUUUGGUCAAGUUAAAGUUUCAAACAGAGAAAUAAAGCGUAUUUGGAGAAAACAGUGAGCUCUACACACAAGGAUUGGACUUUAGAACUAAAUGAUGCUUUGUGGGCAUACAGGACAGCUUAUAAAACUCCUAUUGGGAUGUCACCAUUCCGACUUGUUUAUGGGAAAGCCUGUCAUCUACCUAUGGAGCUGGAGCAUAAAGCUUACUGGGCCAUUAAAGAGUUAAAUUUUACAUAUGACUCAGCUGGGGAAAAGCAGAAAUUGCAGUUAAAUGAGCUAGAGGAAAUUCGUCAAGGUGCUUAUGAUAGUUCUCGCAUCUACAAGGAAAGAACUAAGGCAUUUCUGAUAGUCAAAUUUUACGGAAGGAAUUUCAGCCAGGGCAAAAGGUUCUGUUAUUCAGUUCAAGGCUCAAGUUGUUUCCAGGGAAAUUAAAAUCUCGCUGGACUGGACCCUACCUAGUGACUCAAGUUUUUCCUCAUGGAGCAGUUCAAAUCACUAAUGAAGAUAAAGGCAACACGUUCAAGGUGAAUGGUCAUAAGCUGAAACCCUACGUGGAGACACCUUUUGACAUUGCAGCCGAGUCUUUGACUCUGAAGGAACCAGUGAUUUGACCACCAGGCUUCUGCAAAGUCUAGCUAUAGACUUAAAAUAAAGCGCUUAUUGGGAGGCAACCAAAUUUUUCUAAACUCUUUACUUCUUUUAUUUUCGAAAACAAAAAAAAAAACAAAAAAACAAAAAAUUUUGUUGUUUUCUUUAUCUAGUUGUUUGUAUUUUCUUUCUAUUCCUAACACAUAAUUGACUAAAUGCAGGACACAACUAUCAGCAGCAAGCAUCAAAAACAGAAAAUCCUAUACUAGAAUCUUGCACCCAGUAGCAGCUGGAAUCUUGCACCCAGCAGCAGCUGGAAUCAUGCACCCAGCAGCAAGUCUACAUUAACAUCACCACAUCUACACUAUACUGGAAGUUAAAGCAAUUCACAUGAGCUCACUCAAAGAUGCAAAUUUGGGGGAAGCUAUUGUGGAUCCAGCACAUAUAUAUAUAUAUAUAAUUUUAAGCAGUUAAUUUUUUUUUGCAGCUCAGUUUACACCACAUAGCCAGACACCACACAACUGAGUAUCGCUAUCAGAACCAACCAAAAGACACAAAUAAGCAAAAAUUCUCACAAUCUAGAAAGACCCAUGAAUUAAUACAGAUCUACAAAAAAAAAAUAAGAAAAACUUGCAGGGAUUCGAUAUUAUACCUACUCCCAACUUGAAGAUUGACUUGCUCGCUGAAAUCCGCCAGUCUCCAUGCAUUAUUUCCAAGGUUGAUGCAACUCUACAAUUGCAGCCGAUGAAAACAGAUGGGGAUGAGUAUCUCAGAACAAGGCAACGAAGUCUGUAAUAAUCACUCUUGUUCUUAAUUACUUUCAACACAAUUAUACCCACACUAAGACCCAGCUAAGAGCACAAUGCGAAGCUUACCGUUAACCAAGCUCAGGAACUCCGAGUGUAUGUGGUGUUGGGGUUGAACUCGGUCUGGGUCAGCUCAUCCGAGUCGUUGGGGUUGGAGUUGGGACGGAUCUCGGUGAGGAUUCAAUUGUCUCUUCGACAAAGCCGCAGCGGAUGGUGAUUUUGAUUUUGUUGAACGUUUUCUGGAUCUGGCACCCUCACACAGAUGAACCCACACGACUAUGCUCUGAAGGAUAGCCAAGGCUCUUGAGUUCUUGCUAGAGAUGACAAGGGGAGAGGGUGGAGAUGGAUGGGUUGAAACUGAGUGAAAUAAAAAAGCGUCUUUCGUGAUUUACAAUCUGAGCUGGGAAUGGCCAAAGGCGAGCCUGUUGGCUCUGGACUCAAGGUUAGACGAAGGGGAUUCAAUAUUUUUCAAAUGACGCAUGAACACUGCUAAACCAGUUAUAUAGUAGCUAUCGUGAGGUUUUGACACAAGUAUUUACUUAGCCGUGUUGGUCAGCGAGCCAGGUCCCAGCUACCAGUUCCUGCUUUCGAAUCCCAGAAACGUUAAAUUUUCCCUGCAACAAAAUCAAAACAAAAACACAACAAAACAAAAAUAAGGAAAAUAAAAAGUGUGGAGUGUGUGAAGUAUGAAUAAAAGGGAUGAGAGGUAAAGGCUUUAGUCGAAUCUCCAUAACCAUGAUGGUUCACUUUACACCAAAGGAAGUUUGUGAAUUCUUUUCUGAUUGAGUCUAAAUAGCUUAGACUCUGUGGUGGGAUUACUUGGAUCUAUUGAAAGGAUGUUCUAUUUUUUAAAAUUUUCUAUGGAUUGCAACUUGAAGGUGGAAAUUUUGUCCUGGUUAAGUGUUAGCCAGAUGUCUAGUCUGUUAAGUUUUUAUUUUUGUUUGAGUCUUGUUUCGCUUGAGGACAAGCAAAAAGCUAAGUUUAUGGGUAUUUUGAUGGACAUAUUUUAUAUUAUAUAUUUAACCUUAUUCUUAGUAUAUUUUGGUUAAUAUUUUGAAAGAAUUUUGAUACUUUGAAUUAUAUUUUCAAUAUAGGACUUUCCACUCUCUCUGGAGCAAAACAUAAUCAAAUGGACGAAUUUUGGAGUAAUUCUAAUUGGAGGAUGUUCGUGAGACCGUAUCAAAAUUUCAGAUUUUUCUUCCAAGCGGUUAUUUUCUAGCAAUAAAUUAAAGGAGUAGUGCGCAGUGCUGGAAUAGUGAUGUGUUGGGCUUUUAUUGCAUUUUUGGAGCCGAAGAUGACCUCGGAUAGGUUCGUGGCCUUCUAGAGAAGUGUUCAGAACAUUUUUAUCUUUAAAACAAGCUAUAUUGGGCCAGAUUUGGAGGAGAUUUUGGGCCAAAACAUGGCUGGGCAGAUUUUGGACAGAUUCUCCUAUUCCAAUUUGGACUUUAUUUCCUAGUAUUAUUUUAUUUUAAUUAGUUUCCUUGUGGGGAUAGAAAAGCCGUACAUUGGCAGCUAGGUUUUAAGGGGUAUUUAAGCUCUUUCUCACAAGGAAUUGAGGACUUCUUUUUCACUUUUGAACUUUGCAUUGUGGAGAGCAAUUGCUAGGGUUUUGGGUUUUCGCAUCUUUCAGGUGUUUUCGUUCUUUUCUUCUUAAUGAUAUUUUCUUGGAUUUCAAUUAUGAGCGUGCGUAACUAAAUUUCUUUUGCUAGGGUGAAGCCUUGAACCUUAGCAUGAAUAUGUGAUUUUUAUUUUGAGUGCAUGCCUACUUGAAUUGUUAAUCACUGUUUUAAACUAUCUAAUUGUCUUAAUACCUGAUCAUCAUUAGGAUCUUUAGAAAAAUAAUUGGAUGCAAUUUUGGUCGGAAGGUUCUCUGAAAUUGAUGCUAGCUUCUUGUGAUUAAUAAUUGUAAUUUCACUUAAGAUGAACACCACGUCUUAAGGGUUGCAUGGUUUUUCAAAGGGUUUUCACAAAAACUUAAUGAGUCUUUCAUGUUCAGAUUUGAUCCGAACGUCCGGACGGGUUGCAUGUUGGAUAUACGUUUUGUGUUGGAGGUUCCAAAUAGAAUAUACAUUAAGAAAACCUAACCUUCAAAGUGGCAUGUGCAAAUUAUAAGUAAUUGGUAAAAGUUCAUAGGAUUGCUAGGUGAUGGUGAAACCCUAGUGCUUUUAUAAAUUGAUAUUCAAAACUCUUUCAUUCAAUCGUAUUUGUUAUUGUUUAAUAUUUGUUUUUAGAAUCAACCAAAUUCAUAAAUCUUUCUUGACCUUUUAUUUUAAGUAGUUAUUUGAAAUUUGUUUUUACUUACAUUGCUAAUUAGUCCUUGAAGAAAACGACCUUGCAUGAGCAUCUAUACUACAAUAGCCUUGUAUUCUUGCAAGUAUUUUAUGUGAUUUUAACCCUGUUUGCACAGGUACUAAAAAUCCUA
Molecule: long non-coding RNA, 7753 nt
Filed under: Prunus persica (peach)
Lineage: Eukaryota; Viridiplantae; Streptophyta; Magnoliopsida; Rosales; Rosaceae
Description: long non-coding RNA (PPER_LNC006220)
Source: RNAcentral